RNAcentral lists this ribosomal RNA (500 nucleotides) under uncultured bacterium. RNAcentral's name for it is "partial 16S ribosomal RNA". It matches the Rfam family "Bacterial small subunit ribosomal RNA", at positions 30 to 523 of the family's 1533-position model. The record is from RNAcentral.
AUUGAACGCUGGCGGCAUGCCUUACACAUGCAAGUCGAACGGCAGCACGGGAGCAAUCCUGGUGGCGAGUGGCGAACGGGUGAGUAAAGUAUCGGAACGUGCCCAGUCGUGGGGGAUAACGUAGCGAAAGUUACGCUAAUACCGCAUACGAUCUAUGGAUGAAAGCGGGGGAUCGCAAGACCUCGAGCGGUUCGACCGGCCGAAAUCAGAUUAGGUGGUUGGUGGGGUAAAGGCUCACCAAGCCGAAGAUAUGUAGCUGGUCUGAGAGGACGACCAGCCACACUGGGACUGAGACACGGCCCAGACUCCUACGGGAGGCAGCAGUGGGGAAUUUUGGACAAUGGGCGAAAGCCUGAUCCAGCCAUGCCGCGUGCAGGAUGAAGGCCUUCGGGUUGUAAACUGCUUUUGUACGGAACGAAAAGGUUUGGCCUAAUAAGCUGAGCUCAUGACGGUACCGUAAGAAUAAGCACCGGCUAACUACGUGCCAGCCGCCGCAGUAA